AAAAUAACCAUUUCAGAACACAUUCUUCCUAUAAAAAAUGGAACUCAAUAAAGGUCUUAACUUACCGACCCAUUUAAACUUAAGAGUAGAAAAAUCUCUAAUCCACAACCAAAAAUUUAACUUUUCAUGUGAUCAUAGGCAAAGAAUCAAAUAGUUAAAUGGUAAAAUUAAAAAUCAUAUAGAAUAGAGAAGAAAACUAAACAGAAAAAUCUUCCUCUGCACAGUGAUCAGAAUAAGUCAUGAUCAACUAUUACGAUUCAACU
This 263-nucleotide long non-coding RNA is filed under the name Olea europaea (common olive). Its description in RNAcentral is "long non-coding RNA (OEUR_LNC012557)". The record is from RNAcentral. Lineage: Eukaryota; Viridiplantae; Streptophyta; Magnoliopsida; Lamiales; Oleaceae.